GAUGAAGAACGUAGCGAAAUGCGAUAAGUAAUGUGAAUUGCAGAAUUCAGUGAAUCAUCGAAUCUUUGAACGCGCAUUGCGCCCCUUGGUAUUCCGGGGGGCAUGCCUCUUCCAGCGUCAUUUCACCCCUCAAGCUCUGCUUGGUUUUGGGCCGCGCCGGCAACGGCGGGCCUCGAAAAUAGUGGCGACGCCAUCGUGCUCUCAGCGUAGUAAUUCUUCUCGCUGUUGGGUCCCGGUGGUCGUCCGCCAGCAACCCCCAACUUUCUUAAGUUUGACCUGGGAUGAGGUAGGGAUACCCGCUGAACUUAAGCAUAUCAAUAAGCGGAGGA
RNAcentral lists this unclassified non-coding RNA (329 nucleotides) under soil metagenome. RNAcentral describes it as "partial contains 5.8S ribosomal RNA, internal transcribed spacer 2, and large subunit ribosomal RNA". The stretch from base 1 to 120 matches the Rfam family "5.8S ribosomal RNA", at positions 35 to 154 of the family's 154-position model. The record is from RNAcentral.